Molecule: ribosomal RNA, 440 nt
Filed under: uncultured bacterium
Lineage: Bacteria
Description: partial 16S ribosomal RNA
Rfam family: Bacterial small subunit ribosomal RNA
Source: RNAcentral
CCUACGGGGGGCAGCAGUGGGGGAUAUUGCACAAUGGGGGAAACCCUGAUGCAGCGACGCCGCGUGAGCGAUGAAGUAUUUCGGUAUGUAAAGCUCUAUCAGCAGGGAAGAAAAUGAGGGUACCUGACUAAGAAGCCCCGGCUAAAUACGUGCCGACAGCCGCGGUAAUGCGUAGGGGGCAAGCGUUAUCCGGAUUUAUUGGGUGUAAAGGGAGAGUAGACGGCAGUGCAAGUCCGAAGGGAAAGGCAAGGGCCCAAACCUUGGACUGCUUUGGAAACUGUGCUGCUGGAGUGUCGGAGAGGCAAGUGGAAUGCCUAGUGUAGCGGUGAAAUGCGUAGAUAUUAGGAGGAACACCAGUGGCGAAGGCGGCUUGCUGGACGAUGACUGACGUUGAGGCUCGAAAGCGUGGGGAGCAAACAGGAUUAGAUACCCUGGUAGUC